GAUGAAGAACGCAGCGAAAUGCGAUAAGUAAUGUGAAUUGCAGAAUUCAGUGAAUCAUCGAAUCUUUGAACGCACAUUGCGCCCCCUGGUAUUCCGGGGGGCAUGCCUGUCCGAGCGUCAUUACAACCCUCAAGCUCAGCUUGGUGUUGGGCCCCGCCGCCCCGGCGGGCCCUAAAGUCAGUGGCGGUGCCGUCCGGCUCCGAGCGUAGUAAUUCUUCUCGCUCUGGAGGUCCGGUCGUGUGCUCGCCAGCAACCCCCAAUUUUUUUCAGGUUGACCUCGGAUAAGGUAGGGAUACCCGCUGAACUUAAGCAUAUCAAUAAGCGGAGGA
RNAcentral lists this unclassified non-coding RNA (329 nucleotides) under soil metagenome. Its description in RNAcentral is "partial contains 5.8S ribosomal RNA, internal transcribed spacer 2, and large subunit ribosomal RNA". The stretch from base 1 to 120 matches the Rfam family "5.8S ribosomal RNA", at positions 35 to 154 of the family's 154-position model. The record is from RNAcentral.